UGCCUGCAGCUCGAGUGGUAACCGCUAUUAUUGGGCCUAAAGCGUCCGUAGCCGGUUUGGUAAAUAUCUGGGUAAAUCGUGAGGCUUAACUUCACGAAUUUCGGAUAGACUGCCAGACUUGGGAUCGGGGGAGGUCAGAGGUACUCCAGGGGUAGCGGUGAAAUGUUGUAAUCCUUGGAGGACCACCGGUAGCGAAGGCGUCUGACUAGAACGAGUCCGACGGUGAGGGACGAAGCCCUGGGGCGCAAACCGGGAUUAGAUACCCGGGUAGUCCAGGGUGUAAACUAUGUGGGCUUUGUAUUGGAGGUCCCACGUGGGCGUCCAGUGCAGAAGAGAAGUUGUUAAGCCCACCGCCUGGGAAGUACGGUCGCAAGGCUGAAACUUAAAGGAAUUGGCGGGGGAGCCCAGCAACGGGAGGAGCGUGCGGUUC
This 430-nucleotide ribosomal RNA is filed under the name uncultured archaeon. RNAcentral's name for it is "bacterial SSU rRNA". It matches the Rfam family "Archaeal small subunit ribosomal RNA", at positions 474 to 903 of the family's 1478-position model. The record is from RNAcentral.